GAUGAACGCUGGCGGCGUGCUUAACACAUGCAAGUCGAACGGAAAGGCCCAAGCUUGCUUGGGUACUCGAGUGGCGAACGGGUGAGUAACACGUGGGUGAGCUGCCCUGCACUUCGGGAUAAGCCUGGGAAACUGGGGCUAAUACCGGAUAGGACGAUGGUAUGGAUGCCAUUGUGGAAAGUUUUUUCGGUGUGGGAUGAGCUCGCGGCCUAUCAGCUUGUUGGUGGGGUAAUGGCCUACCAAGGCGUCGACGGGUAGCAGGCCUGAGAGGGUGUACGGCCAGAUUAGAACUGAGAGACAGCCCAGAGUCGGACAGGAGGCAGAAGUGGGGAAUAUUGCACAAUGCGCGCAAGCCUGAUGGAGGGAGGCCGCGUGGGGGAUGACGGCCUUCGGGUUGUAAGCUCCUUGCGCUAGGGACGAAGCGUUUUUGUGACGGUACCUGGAGAAGAAGCACCGGCUAACUACGUG
RNAcentral lists this ribosomal RNA (468 nucleotides) under uncultured bacterium. RNAcentral describes it as "partial 16S ribosomal RNA". It matches the Rfam family "Bacterial small subunit ribosomal RNA", at positions 28 to 507 of the family's 1533-position model. The record is from RNAcentral.